AUGGUUGCUGAAUGGACCAUCAAAAAUACUAGGAUUAUCACUGAGUUAUUUGCCGAGCAAGUGAAAGCUGGAAUUAGGCCAAAUACUCAUUUGACUGCCAAUGCAUAUGAGGAAGUGGGAAGAAAAUUCAAAAUAAGAACAGGGUUGGAGCACACGUAUAAUCAAUUGAAGAACAAAUGGGAAAAACUCAGAAGUGAUUAUAGUGUAUUCAAGAAACUUUCUUUGAAGGAGACGGGAGCAGGAUGGGACAUUGAGCACAACACUGUGAAACAAGAUGCUGAGUGGCGGAACAAGGCAAAGAUAGUGAAUUCAAUCUUACGUUGUGCAUACCAUAUCUUCUCCUUAGUUGUUAAAAUAUAUUAUCUUUGUUGUAUUGUAGGACAUUCCAGGUUGUUACAAGUUCAUAGACUUCGCAAUGAAGAAAACUUGCGCUUCAUGUUUGGAGACAUCACAAGUGAUGGUUCGGAUCAUUGGAAUCCGAGUUUUGGCACCCCUCCUUCUACUACUCUAAUAUCAAGUGCCAUCAAUCUUGAGCAAAUUGAAGAUGUUGAUUUGUUGGAGGAUACCCAAGUUCCAUCUCCUAUUACACCAAAGGUUAAUAAGAGGCUCGAAAAGAUCAUUUGUGACACAAACAAGAGACCGAAGACCACACAAGUGAUGCAGGUGCAGAUUACAAUGAUUGGGUCAACUCCGCUCAUGGAUUGUGGAGGCUUCCUGGAGUUGGGUCGUUCGGGCCAGCUCUGCUCGUGGAUUCGUGGAAGCUGGGAGCUGGCAAGCUACCGAACAGGCCCUUAG
This 795-nucleotide ribosomal RNA is filed under the name Triticum aestivum (bread wheat). RNAcentral's name for it is "partial small subunit ribosomal RNA". The record is from RNAcentral. Lineage: Eukaryota; Viridiplantae; Streptophyta; Magnoliopsida; Poales; Poaceae.